This 498-nucleotide ribosomal RNA is filed under the name uncultured bacterium. Its description in RNAcentral is "partial 16S ribosomal RNA". It matches the Rfam family "Bacterial small subunit ribosomal RNA", at positions 29 to 523 of the family's 1533-position model. The record is from RNAcentral.
AUUGAACGCUGGCGGCAUGCCUUACACAUGCAAGUCGAACGGUAACGCGGGGCAACCUGGCGACGAGUGGCGAACGGGUGAGUAAUGCAUCGGAACGUGCCUGGUAGUGGGGGAUAACUGCUCGAAAGAGCAGCUAAUACCGCAUACGACCUGAGGGUGAAAGGGGGGGAUCGCAAGACCUCUCGCUAUCAGAGCGGCCGAUGUCGGAUUAGCUAGUUGGUGGGGUAAAGGCCCACCAAGGCGACGAUCCGUAGCUGGUCUGAGAGGACGACCAGCCACACUGGGACUGAGACACGGCCCAGACUCCUACGGGAGGCAGCAGUGGGGAAUUUUGGACAAUGGACGCAAGUCUGAUCCAGCCAUGCCGCGUGCGGGAAGAAGGCCUUCGGGUUGUAAACCGCUUUUGUCAGGGAAGAAAUCUUCUGGGUUAAUACCUCAGGAGGAUGGCGGUACCUGAAGAAUAAGCACCGGCUAACUACGUGCCAGCCGCCGCCGUAA